ACUAGAGUUUGAUCCUGGCUCAGAACGAACGCUGGCGGCGUGCCUAACACAUGCAAGUCGAGCGCGAACGCUCCUUCGGGAGCCUUAAAGCGGCAGACGGGUGAGUAACACGUGGGUAACCUGUCCCUGAGUGGGGGAUAACUACUCGAAAGGGUGGCUAAUACCGCAUAAGACCACGGCCUUGCGGGGCUGAGGUCAAAGGCGCAAGCCGCUUAGGGAGGGGCCCGCGGCCGAUUAGCUAGUUGGCAGGGUAAUGGCCUACCAAGGCGACGAUCGGUAGCUGGUCUGAGAGGAUGAUCAGCCACACUGGUACUGAGACACGGACCAGACUCCUACGGGAGGCAGCAGUGGGGAAUAUUGCGCAAUGGGCGAAAGCCUGACGCAGCAACGCCGCGUGGGUGAUGAAGGCCUUCGGGUCGUAAAGCCCUGUCAGAUGGGACGAAGCAAGUGACGGUACCAUCGAAGGAAGCACCGGCUAACUCCGUGCCAGCAGCCGCGGUAA
Molecule: ribosomal RNA, 502 nt
Filed under: uncultured Syntrophobacterales bacterium
Lineage: Bacteria; Pseudomonadati; Thermodesulfobacteriota; Syntrophobacteria; Syntrophobacterales
Description: bacterial SSU rRNA
Rfam family: Bacterial small subunit ribosomal RNA
Source: RNAcentral